CUUAACUUUCUUCGUGUUUUCUUGUAUUUAUUUAUUUUGUUGUGUGUGUAUAUAUAUAUAUAUAUAUUAUUGCUGAUUCAAUGUGUUGAACUGUUUUAUUCAUUACACUAUAAAACUUAACAUUAUAAUUUUAUAACUUGUAAUAUUUCAUUACAGCUAUAUAUUGUUUCUUUUAGGAAUUGGUGUAUAAUCAGAGAAAUAUUUUUCCAAUGAUAGUAAAAUCUCGUGAACUUACUGAAAAUAUUCUUUGUAAAAUCAAAACUAUAUUUUCUAAUCUUGGAGAUGCCAAAGCUGAAUAAGCAGACAAGACUUUUAGCUGCUCCUUUUCUCAGGAUGUUGCCACUAGUAGCUGUCAUAAACCUUAUGUGAUUGCACCAUCAUAGAGUCAAGCUGGCUACCAAUACUCUUUGUCUAUUGUAUAAGAAC
This is a non-coding RNA of Parasteatoda tepidariorum (common house spider), 426 nucleotides long. NCBI's taxonomy places the organism in Eukaryota, Metazoa, Arthropoda, Arachnida, Araneae, Theridiidae. The record is from RefSeq and is a predicted model, not a curated record.